Molecule: ribosomal RNA, 253 nt
Filed under: uncultured bacterium
Lineage: Bacteria
Description: partial 16S ribosomal RNA
Rfam family: Bacterial small subunit ribosomal RNA
Source: RNAcentral
GACAGAGGGUGCAAACGUUGUUCGGAAUUACUGGGCGUAAAGCGCGUGUAGGCGGUCUUCUAAGUCGGAUGUGAAAGCCCCGGGCUCAACCCGGGAAGUGCACUCGAAACUGGAAGGCUAGAGUAUCGGAGAGGUUGGUGGAAUUCUCGGUGUAGAGGUGAAAUUCGUAGAUAUCAGGAGGAACACCGGUGGCGAAGGCGGUUCUCUGGGCAUUACCUGACGCUGAGGAGCGAAAGUGUGGGGAGCGAACAGG